CCUACGGGAGGCAGCAGUGGGGAAUAUUGGGCAAUGGGCGCAAGCCUGACCCAGCAACGCCGCGUGAAGGAAGAAGGCUUUCGGGUUGUAAACUUCUUUUCUCAGGGACGAAGCAAGUGACGGUACCUGAGGAAUAAGCCACCGCUAACUACGAGCCAGCAGCCGCCGUAAUCCGUCGGUGGCGAGCGUUAUCCGGAUUUACUGGGUGUAAAGGGCGUGUAGGCGGGGAAGCAAGUCAGAUGUGAAAACCACGGGCUCAACCUGUGGCCUGCAUUUGAAACUGGGUUUCUUGAGUACUGGAGAGGCAGACGGAAUGCCUAGUGUAGCGGUGAAAUGCGUAGAUAUUGGGAGGAACACCAGUGGCGAAGGCGGUCUGCUGGACAGCAACUGACGCUGAGGCGCGAAAGCGUGGGGAGCAAACAGGAUUAGAUACCCUUGUAGUC
RNAcentral lists this ribosomal RNA (443 nucleotides) under uncultured bacterium. Its description in RNAcentral is "partial 16S ribosomal RNA". It matches the Rfam family "Bacterial small subunit ribosomal RNA", at positions 338 to 795 of the family's 1533-position model. The record is from RNAcentral.